GAGUUUGAUCCUGGCUCAGGAUGAACGCUAGCGGCAGGCCUAACACAUGCAAGUCGAGGGGUAGCAGGGUAGCAAUAUCGCUGACGACCGGCGCACGGGUGAGUAAUGCGUAUGCAACCUUCCUUUAACUGGGGCAUAGCCCGGAGAAAUUCGGAUUAAUACCCCAUAACAUCAUGAAAAGGCGUCUUUUUAUGAUUAAAGCUCCGGCGGUUAAAGAUGGGCAUAUGUGCCAUUAGCUUGUUGGUGAGGUAACGGCUCACCAAGGCUACGAUGGCUAGGGUGUCUGAGAGGAUGAUCCCCCACACUGGUACUGAGACACGGACCAGACUCCUACGGGAGGCAGCAGUGAGGAAUAUUGGGCAAUGGGCGCAAGCCUGACCCAGCCAUGCCGCGUGAAGGAUGAAUGCCCUAUGGGUUGUAAACUUCUUUUGUACGGGACAAAACUCCUGGUCGUGACCGGGAUUGAUGGUACCGUACGAAUAAGCAUCGGCUAACUCCGUGCCAGCAGCCGCGGUAAUACGGAGGAUGCAAGCGUUAUCCGGAUUCAUUGGGUUUAAAGGGUGCGUAGGCGGAAUAGCAAGUCAGCGGUGAAAGCCUGUGGCUUAACCAUAGAAAUGCCGUUGAUACUGUUAUUCUUGAGUGUAGUUGAAGUGGGCGGAAUGUGUUAAUGUAGCGGUGAAAUGCUUAGAUAUUACACAGAACACCAAUUGCGAAGGCAGCUCACUAAGCUAAUACUGACGCUGAGGCACGAAAGCGUGGGGAGCAAACAGGAUUAGAUACCCUGGUAGUCCCGCCGUAACGAUGAUCACUCGUUGUUGG
This 819-nucleotide ribosomal RNA is filed under the name uncultured bacterium. RNAcentral describes it as "bacterial SSU rRNA". It matches the Rfam family "Bacterial small subunit ribosomal RNA", at positions 9 to 826 of the family's 1533-position model. The record is from RNAcentral.